RNA transcript from Daphnia carinata, 3512 nucleotides. It is a transcript of the gene named xaa-Pro aminopeptidase ApepP-like, with no coding region annotated. The record is from RefSeq and is a predicted model, not a curated record. Lineage: Eukaryota; Metazoa; Arthropoda; Branchiopoda; Diplostraca; Daphniidae. The transcript has 15 exons.
AAGAAAUGGAUUGCCUGUCUUCAGGCAUUGUUGAAUGUAAAAGAAACUGGGAUCAGAGAAUCGAGGAUUGUCGGAAUCAAAAGAAACUACGGUAGCACGAGUACAAGACGAGAACAUGGGUGGAGGUAAUGACGCUCAAGGCCAAGCUCGAAACACGUUGGAGACUUGCAUACACAGAUAUUGGAUAGAUUGAUAUUGGAGGUCAUUUACCUUCCACGAUGAUCUCUUUUGUGGUUGUUUUUUCUGCUGGUAAUAAUCCUAGCAAAGAGACAGUGGGAAAAACUAGCUGAUUUUUGCCAAAGCCUACCUGUAUCCUCAUCUUGGCUUCAUCAAUUUCCCCGAUUCCUACACUGUUAAUCGUUAAUGCCUCCUGAGAAUUGAUGAUUUUGACCAAGCAACGUCAAUCUGUUGUCCAGCUCUGAGGUUUUUACAAUUAUGGAAUCAUUCUCUACAACGCCUGUUCAGUUGAAUUGCUGUCCUUCAACGGAAAAGAUAUGGAAGCACGUGCUGCCACAAGCAAACCACGUUUCGCCAUAACCGUUAUUAUUGCUUGGUUAAUGGCGAAAAGCACUUUGUCUGCUUCAACAUUGCCAACAAUCAAGGCCAUUGUCUACCGAAAUAUGAUGGAUCGACUGGCUUGCCCACCGGAUCAUGACCACCCUGAACCAGCCAAUCGUGUGAACACGUCUUUACGUGUGGAAAUGUUGAGAAAGGCUAUGGCUUUGUCAAAUGUAAAUGCUUACAUCAUCACUGGUGAAGAUCAGCAUCAGCAAACUGAGAUGAUUUCACCAGAAAACGACAGACGGCAGUUUGUCUCCGGUUUUACUGGCAGUUCUGGGACAGCUGUCGUAACAGACAAACAAGCUGUUUUAUGGACAGAUGGACGUUACUAUCUUCAGGCUGAUCAACAACUGGAUUGCCAGUGGAUACUGAUGAAAUCAGGACAGGAUCAGGUGCCUGAGAUUAGCCAUUGGCUGAAGUCUGUCCUGUCACCGGGUGAUAGAGUGGGCGCCGAUCCGAAAUUGGUCAACGCCAAUCAUUGGCUGCAAUGGCGAAACGAACUCGCCGGAAGCGACAUUUGGCUGGAUGCUUUGCCAACCAAUCUCGUGGACGCAGUUUGGAAACAUGCCAAAGUCGUGAGUCCUAACAACUCGGCGUGCAGCAGCAGCAGCAGCAAUAAACCAAGCACUACGGCUUACGUUCACGACAUAGCCUACUCCGGUCAAUCGUGGCAAGACAAAGUGGACGCAGUGCGGAAUGAGCUAGUGGCACAAAAGCUGGAUGCCGUUGUAUUGACGGCCCUGGACGAGAUCGCUUGGCUGUUGAACUUGAGGGGUGGCGACGUGCCCUACAGCCCCUUGGUAGAAGGUUACGUAUAUUUAUCGCUGGAUCGCAUUGUGCUCUUUAUCCAACCGACGAAAAUGACGGAGCUGAUCUGGCAACACUUGAACGAAUGUCAAGAGGGAACUAUUUGUGUCGAAGUGAGACACUACGACAACGUCCUCAACGACUUGCCCGUUUUAACGGAGAAUGUCGACUCUGUCCUGCUGCCCUCGAACUACGCCUACAGUGGAGGAGUCAGUUUCGCUAUUUACCAAACGAUUCCUGCAGACAAGAGACGAACAUCGCCUUCGCCAUUGAUUUUAUUGAAAGCGAAGAAAAACGCCAUCGAAGUGGAGGGAAUGAAAAACGCCCAUAUGAAAGAUGCAGUGGCCCUCUGCGAUUUUCUCUCUCUUCUUGAACAACAGAUUCGUGAAGGCAAGGUGCAAUGGGACGAAUUGAAAGUCGUUCACACCUUGGACGAGUACCGCCAACAGCAGGACCUGUACCGAGGACCAAGCUUCAGCACGAUUGCUGCGUUCGGACCCAAUGGCGCAGUUAUCCAUUACAGGCCGUCGAUGGAAACCAAUCGAAUCAUUGACAAUUCUUCUUUUUUGAUCAUCGACUCUGGUGGCCAAUAUCUCGAUGGGACGACGGAUGUGACCCGUACGUUCCAUUUUGGUCGUGCGACUCAGCGUCAGAAAGAGAUUUACACUCGGGUUUUAAUGGGAGCUAUCGACCUGGCCACACUAGUUUUCCCCGACUCGAUUGCCGAUAGCCGCAUAGAUAUCAUCGCUCGUCAACACCUUUACCAGGUCGGACUGGACUACCUUCACGGAACCGGCCAUGGCAUUGGCUCAUUUCUCAACGUUCACGAAAGUCCCAUUCAAGUGAACACCAACAACAAAGAAGCUCAUCAUUUCCACGCCAACUAUUUCUUUUCUGACGAACCAGGUUAUUACUUGGCCAAUGAGUACGGCAUCCGAUUGGAAACGAUCCUUCGUGUCGUCGACGUAAACAUGACGGAGCAGCAUCCACAGGAGGAGUCUCACUAUGGCGGGAAUAGGUUUCUUGGCUUUGAGCCCGUGACUCUCGUCCCGUUCGAGCCCAAUUUGAUUCUAGCCGACGUGAUGACCUCCAAACAAAUGAAGUGGUUGAACGAUUACCACCAACUGGUCCGGCUGAACGUCGGCGCUGAGUUACAACAACGGCGAAACACAGCGUCGACCAGCAGUACAGGCGGAUGCUGGCCCUGGCUCGUCUCCAAAACUCGGCCGGUAACCUCUUCACCGUAACCGACACCUAGAAUCCCCGCCCAUCUCGUCUUUUUUAAGAGGCAACAAUUCAUUUCUAAGGCCAUUACACUUUAUCAUGUUUUUAUUUAUAGAACUAAAUGUCGUACUAUAAUUCUUAUUAUUCCACGUUACAUCAUAAUUGUUCAUGUCUAGCAAAGCUCAACUCCCAGCUGAUGAAGCAGUUCCAUGGCUGGCCGAAACAAUCGCAGAAGAAAGGAAUGUAAGGGCCUUUUACACGACAUUUUAUCUUUUCACGUAGAUGGUCUAGAAAAAUGUCAAGAUACUUGGAUUAUCUCUCGCCAAAAAAAAAAAAAAAAAUGGGUGAAGCUGCAAAACUAGUCUCGAUAGUGCGAGAUACACCUUACAAAGAGUUAUUGCUGUUGAAGUCGAGUGCAGCCUGGAGCCAAAGGUCGAUAAAUUCUCGAAAAGAAAAAAAAAAGGGGGGCAAAAGAGGCGUUGAACAUUGUAUCUGCAGAAGAAGAGGAAGAAAAUGGUAGUAGUUGUGGGGCGGAGGUGCAGGAUAUGUAGAUUGGCACGUCGAAAUGUACAAAAAAAAAAAAAAAAAAAAAGAAGAAAAGAAACAGUAAAAAAUAAAAGACAACGCCCUCCCCUAAUGUCAGUACGCACGAAACGAACACAAGAGCACAACUACCGGAGAUUAGAAAAAAAAUUGCGCAGAAAAUAUGUUGCAUCUCCCGUAAACUGGAGAUACAACGAGAACGCACGACGUCAAACAUGGCAUCUACAGCUAUGGUCCCAACCAAUAAGAAGAAAGCGCCUUUUGUUGUUUGUUCGCGAAAGGAAGUUCGCGAGACAAGCGGACACAGCAAAAAAAGAAUAAGUUUGUUAAAUUGAAACAGUCGAAAGAAAAGGCAUCUAAAUAUAGAUGUAUUUAUA